Molecule: long non-coding RNA, 1428 nt
Organism: Zonotrichia albicollis (white-throated sparrow)
Lineage: Eukaryota; Metazoa; Chordata; Aves; Passeriformes; Passerellidae
Source: Ensembl
UUACGUUUUGGUGUCUUUUUUGUGGGUUUUUUGGUUGUUUUUGUUUUUUGGAUGGUUGGCUGGUUGGCUGGUUGGUUGGUUGGUUGGUUGGUUGGUUGGUUGGUUUUUUGGGGGAUUGUUGGUGGUGGGAGAAAUGUCUGGCCUCUGUAGAAUCUGUCAAAAUAGAAAUAGCAUGAUAAAGUUUCCUCUUCUUUUCUGUAGUCAGGAGAGCUGCCAAAAUGAGCUGACACAAGUACAGCACUGUCUUCUCCCUACAUAUGUCGUGGGUCAUGAGGCAUAGCAGCAUUUGAGCUUCAGAAUGGUGCUUGAAGAGCAUGCUUCACAGGGACAUGAGCAUAAGUAAAGGAGACAGACAUGUUACAGUGAAGAUUUUCAAGGGACUACAAAAGAAGAAUGGGUGGCUUGAUAUGCACAUCUUGAUCAUUCAGGAGCUGGACUCGUAUGACCAUCUAGACUGAGAAUUUGACUGGACUCUAUCAAAACACUUCUACUGCCUGCAUACCUGUCUUCCCUAUCCAGACAAUCAGAGCUCAGGGAAAGGGUGAUGUAUGGGACCCCACCACAAAAUCGAGGAUAGAAGCUGAAGCUCAAAUAUGUAGAGACCCAAAAGAUGAAUAUACUGUGAAGAUAAGCAGACGUUCCUACAGGAUUGUGAAGAUGAUGGAGAGACAGCAGCAGGGGAGGAUCACAUUGCAGCUGGCUUCAGGCAAACAUCUUUGGCCAAGUGAAAACACUUUCCUCUCUUCUAAUUUUUGAUGUGAGUUUGCCAAAAAACCAGUAAUGACAUGCAAUUUCUAAAGCUAGUAUUUUAUUUAAACAACAAAAACAAACUACAGCUAAAAUGACUCACCAAAUAGGGGAAACCCCAGAAGAACUGAGUGACACAGAUUGAAGAGGUUUGGAAACAAAUCAACCUCCUAACCGUUAUGUCGUUGAAGUGUAUACCUUUUUUCCAUAAUCAGUAAUUUUCAGUUCAAGUAAAACUCCAGUUUUUCUCACUACAGAUCAUACUUUUGACUUUUCAGGAAAGUCUCUUAUCUGGAACUCCUGGGGGCAGAUUUGGGACUGCUUCCCUUUUUAGACAGGACACUUUUUGAGUAUCCCAUUUUCUCUCUGCCAGUACCAAACUCCAGAAAUUUUUCCAGAACCCAUCAAGCUCAUUUGGGCUACUGUGGAACUAAUCUUUCUCUUCAUCCUGCUUUUCAGAAGAAAAUGCUUCAGGAAGUGCAUUAACUCAGACAAGGUAAACAGAACACUUUCCUAGUCCUCUGCACAACCUUUUUACACAGUAUAAAUCAGACAGCAUCUGGUACCAUGUAAAAUGAUUGAAUUAAAUUGAAACAAUUUCCUGACACUGUCUGAAAUUUCUGUCUUGAGAGUCUGUAUCACUCAAGGUCACACCUUUUUCUUUAGCUUCUUUCCUCCUUC